AAUCAACGCUGGCGGCGUGCCUAACACAUGCAAGUCGCACGAGAAAGUGGAGCAAUCCAUGAGUACAGUGGCGCACGGGUGAGUAACACGUGAAUAAUCUACCUCCGAGUGGGGAAUAACCUAGAGAAAUCUGGGCUAAUACCGCAUAACACUUACGGGUCAAAGCAGCAAUGCGCUUGGAGAGGAGUUCGCGGCCGAUUAGCUAGUUGGCGGGGUAAUGGCCCACCAAGGCGAUGAUCGGUAUCCGGCCUGAGAGGGCGCACGGACACACUGGAACUGAAACACGGUCCAGACUCCUACGGGAGGCAGCAGUGGGGAAUUUUGCGCAAUGGGGGAAACCCUGACGCAGCAACGCCG
RNAcentral lists this ribosomal RNA (357 nucleotides) under uncultured bacterium. RNAcentral's name for it is "bacterial SSU rRNA". It matches the Rfam family "Bacterial small subunit ribosomal RNA", at positions 32 to 399 of the family's 1533-position model. The record is from RNAcentral.